This 748-nucleotide ribosomal RNA is filed under the name uncultured cyanobacterium. Its description in RNAcentral is "bacterial SSU rRNA". It matches the Rfam family "Bacterial small subunit ribosomal RNA", at positions 8 to 802 of the family's 1533-position model. The record is from RNAcentral. Lineage: Bacteria; Bacillati; Cyanobacteriota.
AGAGUUUGAUCCUGGCUCAGGAUGAACGCUGGCGNUCUGCUUAACACAUGCAAGUCGAACGGGCUCUUCGGAGCUAGUGGCGGACGGGUGAGUAACGCGUGAGGAUCUGCCCUUAGGACGGGGACAACAGCUGGAAACGGCUGCUAAUACCCGAUGUGCCGAGAGGUGAAACUAUUUGGCCUGAGGAUGAGCUCGCGUCUGAUUAGCUAGUUGGAGUGGUAACGGCACACCAAGGCGACGAUCAGUAGCUGGUCUGAGAGGAUGAUCAGCCACACUGGGACUGAGACACGGCCCAGACUCCUACGGGAGGCAGCAGUGGGGAAUUUUCCGCAAUGGGCGAAAGCCUGACGGAGCAAGACCGCGUGCGGGAGGAAGGUCUAUUGAUUGUAAACCGCUUUUGAUAGGGAAGAAGAUCUGACGGUACCUAUCGAAUCAGCAUCGGCUAACUCCGUGCCAGCAGCCGCGGUAAUACGGAGGAUGCAAGCGUUAUCCGGAUUUAUUGGGCGUAAAGCGUCCGUAGGUGGCAAACCAAGUCAGUUGUUAAAGCGUAGAGCUUAACUCUAUAAGGGCAAUUGAAACUGGUUAGCUAGAGUGCGAUAGGGGCAAGGGGAAUUCCCAGUGUAGCGGUGAAAUGCGUAGAUAUUGGGAAGAACAUCGGUGGCGAAGGCGCCUUGCUGGGUCUGCACUGACACUGAGGGACGAAAGCUAGGGGAGCGAAAGGGAUUAGAUACCCCUGUAGUCCUAGCCG